UGUUACCAGGGCGAUCUGGCUGUGACAUCUGUCACCUUAUUGAUCGCCAGGGUUGAUUUGGCUGAUCUGGCUGGCUAGAUGGGUGUCCCAUUCCGUCCUCACUGCUCCAUGGGCAUCCCUCCCGAAGCUGCGCACUGGAUCCAAGAAGAUGACCACCUCUGAUAGAAAAGGACUGGUCUUCGGUCAAGGGUAUAGGAGUAGCUGCGUUUCCCUGCUAGACCUCCAAAGAAGCUCUCAAGUUUCGACUUAUUGCAUGGAAUCCUUAGAUUGCUUUGGGUUAGCCUGGAUAUUUUAAUAGUAUUGAUUUUUACCCAAUCUGUGGGAUAUCCUUGCAGUUGUU
Molecule: unclassified non-coding RNA, 340 nt
Organism: Dipodomys ordii (Ord's kangaroo rat)
Lineage: Eukaryota; Metazoa; Chordata; Mammalia; Rodentia; Heteromyidae
Gene: 7SK
Rfam family: 7SK RNA
About the family: 7SK was discovered as an abundant small nuclear RNA in the mid-70s but a possible function has only recently been suggested. Two independent studies have found that 7SK RNA binds the CDK9/cyclin T complex (known as elongation factor P-TEFb). P-TEFb activates transcription by phosphorylating the C-terminal domain of RNA polymerase II.
Source: Ensembl